RNAcentral lists this ribosomal RNA (28 nucleotides) under Globisporangium polymastum. RNAcentral's name for it is "Pythium polymastum partial large ribosomal RNA subunit". Lineage: Eukaryota; Oomycota; Peronosporomycetes; Pythiales; Pythiaceae. The record is from RNAcentral. RNAcentral also lists the same sequence under 8 other names.
UUGGACCUGAUAUCAGACAAGACUACCC